GACGAACGCUGGCGGCGUGCUUAACACAUGCAAGUCGAACGGAAAGGCCCUGCUUUUGUGGGGUGCUCGAGUGACGAACGGGUGAGUAACACGUGAGUAACCUGCCCUUGACUUUGGGAUAACUUCAGGAAACUGGGGCUAAUACCGGAUAGGAGCUCCUGCUGCAUGGUGGGGGUUAGAAAGUUUCGGCGGUUGGGGAUGGACUCGCGGCUUAUCAGCUUGUUGGUGGGGUAGUGGCUUACCAAGGCUUUGACGGGUAGCCGGCCUGAGAGGGUGACCGGCCACAUUGGGACUGAGAUACGGCCCAGACUCCUACGGGAGGCAGCAGUGGGGAAUAUUGCACAAUGGGCGGAAGCCUGAUGCAGCAACGCCGCGUGCGGGAUGACGGCCUUCGGGUUGUAAACCGCUUUCGCCUGUGACGAAGCGUGAGUGACGGUAAUGGGUAAAGAAGCACCGGCUAACUACGUG
RNAcentral lists this ribosomal RNA (468 nucleotides) under uncultured bacterium. RNAcentral's name for it is "partial 16S ribosomal RNA". It matches the Rfam family "Bacterial small subunit ribosomal RNA", at positions 28 to 507 of the family's 1533-position model. The record is from RNAcentral.